Long non-coding RNA from Paramormyrops kingsleyae, 755 nucleotides. RefSeq lists it as uncharacterized. The record is from RefSeq and is a predicted model, not a curated record. NCBI's taxonomy places the organism in Eukaryota, Metazoa, Chordata, Actinopteri, Osteoglossiformes, Mormyridae.
CCUGUGCUGUUAUUUUAGUGGGCUAGCCGCUCAAAUCAGGCGAAAUGAGAUUUGGAGGCGGCGGCAUGACGUGCUGAGACAGCGGCGUGUUUGCAGGCGAAGGGCGGGAUGCAGUGGAUUUUCAGCGCAAUUGGAAGUCAGGAGGUCUAGGCGCCGCUGUGACUUUCAGCAAGUGCAACGUGGGACAGUCAGAUGGACGAGGCCUUGAGCUCUGCCAACUAGGGGGGGCACUUCUUCCAGGGCCCCCCCACAGUCUGCCAGCUGUCAGGAGUGGCUCCGCCUGGGCACUGGCCUCCUGUACAUCCCGCUCCUCAUCCCUCGGGGGAGCUUCAAGAAAGUUGUAGAAGGAUAACGCAGGAUUAAACAGCUUCUGUACUGCCACCUUGCAUCUCAGGGCCAUGGAGCUGGAAACUUUCAAAAUGCCUGAAAACAAAGAACAGGAGAAAAUCACCGAACCCCAGCAGAUCCUACCGCAGUGAGAAACCGAGGCUAUUACACUACAACACUGCCCCCUGGUGGAAAUGUAGAAGUGAAACUUUUUUUUCUUGAACAUUUUAAAACAAGUACAGUAUAUAAUACUUCUCCAAUAGCCAGGAAGUUAUGUCUGCGUUAUCUCAAAUGUAUUUAAUUUGAAAUUUUAUUCGGGAAUAUUCUCCGUAUUGCUGUAUAGUUAGAUAUAUAAAACAGUCCCAUGCUUUGAGCCCAAGGAGAGAUGUUAUUGUUUUAAAAUGAAUAAAAUAUAAAUCAAGCUUUGA